CCUACGGGAGGCAGCAGUGGGGAAUAUUGGGCAAUGGAGGAAACUCUGACCCAGCAAUGCCGCGUGAAUGAAGAAGGUCUUCGGAUUGUAAAGUUCUUUAGUCAGGGAAGAAUAAAAUGACGGUACCUGAAGAAUAAGCUCCGGCUAACUACGUGCCAGCAGCCGCGGUAAUACGUAGGGAGCAAGCGUUGUUCGGAAUGACUGGGCGUAAAGGGAGCGUAGGCCGCAUGUCAAGCGUGCUGUGAAAUGGCCGGGCUCAACCCGGGCCGUGCAGCGCGAACUGGCGUGCUUGAGUCCGCGGAAAGCAGGCGGAAUUCGUCGUGUAGCGGUGAAAUGCUUAGAUAUGACGAAGAACCCCGAUUGCGAAGGCAGCUUGCUGCAGCGGAACUGACGCUGAUGCUCGAAAGCGCGGGUAUCGAACAGGAUUAGAUACCCGAGUAGUC
RNAcentral lists this ribosomal RNA (443 nucleotides) under uncultured bacterium. RNAcentral describes it as "partial 16S ribosomal RNA". It matches the Rfam family "Bacterial small subunit ribosomal RNA", at positions 338 to 795 of the family's 1533-position model. The record is from RNAcentral.